UUAAAUAUUAGGCAAAGCAGGUGAAAGCCUGUGGCGCAAAGCUAUAGGGACUUUAACAUGUCAGCCAGCUGCAUUC
Molecule: non-coding RNA, 76 nt
Filed under: Butyrivibrio sp. YAB3001
Lineage: Bacteria; Bacillati; Bacillota; Clostridia; Lachnospirales; Lachnospiraceae
Description: c-di-GMP-I riboswitch aptamer
Rfam family: c-di-GMP-I riboswitch aptamer
About the family: GEMM was predicted in a large-scale screen for bacterial structured RNA regulatory elements.
Source: Rfam by way of RNAcentral